This 326-nucleotide ribosomal RNA is filed under the name uncultured eukaryote. Its description in RNAcentral is "SSU rRNA". It matches the Rfam family "Eukaryotic small subunit ribosomal RNA", at positions 1463 to 1804 of the family's 1831-position model. The record is from RNAcentral.
UGUGAUGCCCUUAGAUGUUCUGGGCUGCACGCGUGCUACACUGACACAUACAGCAAGUAUCCUCCAGCUCCGAAAGGUAGUUGGUAAUCAGCAAUAUGUGUCGUGAUGGGGAUAGAUCAUUGGAAUUAUUGAUCUUGAACGAGGAAUUCCUAGUAAGCGCACGUCAUCAUCGUGCGUUGAUUAAGUCCCUGCCCUUUGUACACACCGCCCAUCGCUCCUACCGAUUUCGAGUGAUCCGGUGAGCCUUUCGGACCGCGGCGUUUACGUCGUGGAAAGUCAUGCAAAUCACAUCACUUAGAGGAAGGAGAAGCUGUAACAAGGUUUGC